UAUCCUUCCCCUCAUCCCUUUUUUUUUUCUUUCUUUGAGCAAGCAGAGAAAUUGCCUUUUCCCACCCUGUUUUAAUGACAGGAGCCAUGUGCCCCUUCCUGGAGCAGCUGCCAGAGGCUGUCCUAGUGCAGGAUCACCAGGCCAGCAGACUGACAGAAAAUAUCCUUAUCUUCUGGAGAGUGGUUCCUCUGGCCACCUGGAGAGCAUCUCUGGCAUUUGACUACCUAGAAAAUGGGGAUAAUGCUUGGAGCUGUCAAUGCAGGGACCAUUCACCAGUGCCUGGCAACCUUGCUGAAGUGACUGAAUUAUAUUCCCAUCAGCAGAAAGUAGGAAAUGAGUUACAGUGA
RNAcentral lists this long non-coding RNA (347 nucleotides) under Junco hyemalis (dark-eyed junco). Its description in RNAcentral is "lncRNA (ENSJHYG00000003209.1)". The record is from RNAcentral. Lineage: Eukaryota; Metazoa; Chordata; Aves; Passeriformes; Passerellidae.